This 1602-nucleotide ribosomal RNA is filed under the name Triticum aestivum (bread wheat). Its description in RNAcentral is "partial small subunit ribosomal RNA". The record is from RNAcentral. Lineage: Eukaryota; Viridiplantae; Streptophyta; Magnoliopsida; Poales; Poaceae.
AUGUUAACUAUCUCCCAUACCUCUCAUGAGUUUAUGGAAGACUUGAAGGAGGCAGAUUUGUGUGCUGCACUUGUUGUAAAGGGAGAAGAGCACCUGCCUGUUGAAAUUCCAGCAAAGGUACGUGGUUUAUUGGCAGAAUUUCAGAACAUACUUGGGGAGCCACAUGGCUUGCCACCGAUGAGAGGAAUUCAACAUAGAAUUGACUUAAUUUCGGGAGCAAGUCUUCCUAAUCUUCCACACUAUCGAAUGAGCCCAAAGGAGCAUGAUAUAUUGAAGGAGAAAGUGGAGGAAUUGUUGCAAAAGGGGCACAUUCGAGAAAGUAUUAGCCCAUGUGCUGUACCAGCCCUACUCAUGCCAAAGAAAGAUGGAUCUUGGCGCAUGUGUCUGGACAAUAAAGCCGUUAACAAGAUCACCGUAAGGUAUAGAUUCCUUAUUCCCCGUUUGGAUGAUAUGUUGGAUCAGCUUAGUGGAGCAAGAGUGUUCACAAAGCUAGAUUUAAGAAGUGGAUAUCAUCAAAUCCGUAUAAGACCCGGGGAUGAAUGGAAGACCGCCUUCAAGACAAAGGAAGGGUUGUUUGAAUGGCUAGUCAUGCCAUUUGGACUCUCAAAUGCACCAAGUACCUUUAUGCACUUAAUGAAUCAAGUCCUUAGACCCUUUUUAUUCCACUUGGUUGUGGUCUAUUUCGAUGACAUCUUGAUCUAUAGCAAGGAUGAGGAUGAACACUUUGAUCAUAUUCGGAAGGUGCUAGAAGUACUAAGGGAAAAUGAGCUCUACGUCAACUUGAAGAAAUGUGUUUUCCUACAAACACAACUUCUUUUCCUAGGAUUUGUCAUAACAUGUGACGGCAUUCGUGUUGAUGAUUCUAAGGUUGAAGCAAUCCGAGAAUGGCCAACUCCUAAGACCAUUUCUGAGGUAAGAAGCUUUCAUGGCCUUGCAACUUUCUAUAGGCGAUUUGUGAAGAAUUUCAGCACUAUUAUGGCACCAAUUACCGAGUGUUUGAAGAAAGGAAAGUUCCAAUGGACAGAAGCAGCUGAAGCUAGUUUCAAUGAGAUUAAACAAAAGCUAUCACAAGCUCCUGUCUUGGUACUACCUGAUUUCAACAAGACUUUUGAGUUGGAGUGUGAUGCAAGUGGAGUAGGCAUUGGGGCUGUCCUAUCUCAAGAAAGGAAGCCUAUUGCUUUCUUUAGUGAGGAGUUAAGUGAAGCUAGACAGAAAUGGAGUACCUAUCAGCAAGAAUUAUACGCCGUUUUCAGAGCGUUGAAAACUUGGGAAGUCUAUUUGCUGCCCAAAGAGUUCAUUGUUUAUAGCGACCAUCAAUCCUUGAAGCAUUUUAGAAAUCAAAAGCAUGUUGACCGCAUGCUAGUAAGAUGGGCAGCAUAUCUGGAGAGGUUUAACUAUCUCAUCGUGCAUAAAUCUGGAAUAACUAACAGAGUGGCCGAUGCUUUGAGUCGUCGUGCAUGCCUCUUGACUUCUUUUGAAGCUGAACUUUCGGGCAUGGAUCAAAUAAAGGAGUUGUAUGAGGGUGACGAAGACUUUGGCCAUGUUUGGGUAAAGCACGCAAGGGGCCAACCAUUAGGUGAUGACUAUUUGAUGCAAGAUUGA